Molecule: ribosomal RNA, 432 nt
Filed under: Triticum aestivum (bread wheat)
Lineage: Eukaryota; Viridiplantae; Streptophyta; Magnoliopsida; Poales; Poaceae
Description: partial small subunit ribosomal RNA
Source: RNAcentral
AUGACCAAGCCAAAAUAUUGUGGAGGCCUUGGUUUCUAGGAUAUCGAGCUUUUUAACCUAGCUCUACUGGCAAGGCAAGCAUGGAGAAUUUUAACGGACCCAGACUCACUCAGCGCACGGGUUCUGAGGGCCAAAUACCACCCAGGAGUUGAUAUCUUGAAUGUGGAAAUUGGUUCGGCUCCUUCUCAAAUUUGGCGGGCUAUAAUUGAGGGUCGCGACGUUCUUAAGCAUGGCAUUAUCAAACACAUUGGUGAUGGACUCACGACACACAUAUGGGAUCAGAACUGGCUUCCGAGAUCAGCAAACAUGCGACCUAUUGCUAGUCUGAUUGCUAAUCCACCUCAAUGGGUUAGUGAUAUUAUCUUGCCUAGCACAGAGAAUGGGACCAAGCUGCAGUUUCACAGAUCUUCUUACCCACGGAUGCACAAGUGA